RNAcentral lists this ribosomal RNA (440 nucleotides) under uncultured bacterium. Its description in RNAcentral is "partial 16S ribosomal RNA". It matches the Rfam family "Bacterial small subunit ribosomal RNA", at positions 338 to 795 of the family's 1533-position model. The record is from RNAcentral.
CCUACGGGAGGCAGCAGUAGGGAAUUUUGCGCAAUGGGCGAAAGCCUGAAGCAGCAACGCCGCGUGAACGAGACGCCCUUCGGGGUGUAAAGUUCUGUCAGUGGGGACGAAAAAUGCCGGUACCCACAGAGGAAGCACCCGCUAACUCAGUGACAGCAGCCGCGGUACUACGGAGGGUGCAAGCGUUGUCCGGAAUCAUUGGGCGGAAAGAGUUCGUAGGCGGCAUGUAAAGUCAGGUGUUAAAGGCGCAGGCUCCACCUGUAGAUGGCACGUGAUACUUGCAAGCUGGAGUGCGGUAGGGGUAGAGGGAAGUCCUGGUGUAGCGGUGAAAUGCUUAGAUAUCAGGAGGAACAGAGGUGGCGGAGGCGGUUUACUGGGCCGUAAUUGACGCUGAGGAACGAAAGCCAGGGUAGCAAAUGGGAUUAGAUACCCGAGUAGUC